Molecule: ribosomal RNA, 426 nt
Filed under: Ixodes scapularis (black-legged tick)
Lineage: Eukaryota; Metazoa; Arthropoda; Arachnida; Ixodida; Ixodidae
Description: partial 12S ribosomal RNA
Source: RNAcentral
UAAAAAAUUUUGGCGGUAUUUUAAGCUUAUUAGAGGAAUUUGCUCUGUGAUGGAUACAACGCCUUAAUCUUACUUAAUUUAGUAAUUUAAAUCAGUUUGUAUACCACUAUAUUAAUUAUAUUGAAUAGUUAUAUUUAAAAUUUUUUUUAAAAAAUAUAUUAAGUCAAGGUGCAUCUAAUAAUUAUGAAUGAAGUGAAUUACAUUAAUUUUAAUGUAAUUUUUUACAUGAAAAAAUUAAUUAGGAUUUAAUAGUAAAAUACUAAUAUUAUGAGUAUUUGAAUCAAGCUCUAAAAUAUGCACAUAUCGCCCGUCGCUCUCAGAAGUGAGAUAAGUCGUAACAAAGUAAAAAUACUGGAAAGUGUUUUUUAAAAUGAAAUCAUUCGAUGUUUCAUUUACAAUGAAAAUUUUGUUGUUUAACCAUUUUAA